GAGAAUUGUGUUUGGGAGGGUUUCGGCUUCCUGGCCACAAGGCAUCUUCUCUCCCAUCUUGCAGUAAGUUGACCGUCUUUGCGCUGGACGAUCUGCAGGCCUGGUGGUCUGAGAGGUACCUUGCUCUCUUAGUUAUAGUGCCUCUUUCUGCGUGUGUCACGAGAAAGUGUUCAGAAGAACCAAUGUAUUUUCCCAAGAAAAAGAAAUCAGGAACCUGGUGUAUUUUGCCUGAUGCUUUAGGUAAACUAAUCCAAAUCAGGGCAUCCACAUUAAUCUGGAUAAAGGCUGCUUCUUCAGCCACAGCUAAGGUGCAUGUAAUAGGAAUGAGAGCCACCUGUGUUUCAGAAAGCGUCUGGGAUUUUAGAGCUGCUUGUAACUGCAGCCUAACACAGCCUCAGCCGACUGAUACAUCCAGUGUCGUCAAAACAGAGCAGUGAACCAAGCAGCCGGCUCAUUGUUUGAGAAACAGUUGUUUCAUGGGUGAAUUGACCUCAUCUUCGGCAGCCACCGGUUUGCUAAGCAUUUACUUUGAACAUUUCUAUGAUGAGCUGUCCCCAACAGCUGGGACUCAGGGGACUUUCCUCCAGGUUAACAGCAGUGGACUUCUCAGCACCCUUUAGGUCGCUGUUGUUUAAUCAACUAUCAACGUCUCCUUACACUUUAAUUCCUCCCUCCUUUGUCAAGUCAAACACUUUGAGGAAAUCACACUGCCUGUGUCCUUCUGAUCUACAGGUCUCAUGGCCCCAUCAAAAAUUCAAUGAACUUGUUUGGUUGGAUGCCUCCUUUAUUACUUUUAAAAUACAACAAAGCUGUCAAUAAAUUAUUCCAUCAUCGCUUUUCAAGGUAUCCAUAUUAAAUGUAGCAGUCUAGAACGCUAAAUUCAUUGCCUUGACCUUUCUUAUAUAAAAUACGGACAUUUGUGUGUCUCCAGUGUUCAGGCAUCCCUCUUUCUUUAGUGGAAUUCCUCAGAUAUUACGAAAAGUGGUGAUUAUAUGAAAUUUGUCAAUUAAAGGUACCAGGUAAAGGAUUUUCAGGUGUCCAAGCACACGAAUGAGGUUGUGGGCACCUUGCGGUGCGUCUGAGGUUUUGGCUCUCCGUGCCCACAUUCCUGCAGUGCGUCUGAGGUUUUGGAUCCCCGUGCCCACAUUCCUGGGAGCGGCACUCAGUGGCAGCAGUAAGAUCCAGGCCACCUCGCGGUCGGUUCCCAGGAUGCCCCUCUGCCUGCUCCUGGGGAGAUCACGGGAAACGAAGGGCGAUUGAAGGCGUCACACCCUGGUAGGAAUUUUCCAAUAUAAAUCCAGUAACUGUUUCCAUGAUGGCCUAAAAAAGAAGAGUCUGGAAUCAAUUUGUCACUUUUUCUGUGCCUCCCCAACUCUGACUUAUUUUUUUGAUGGGUCGUUUUUCAUUAUGUAUUGAUGGAGGAUUUGCCUUUGUAGGGCAGUGCCGCACUAGGCCAGUGUACCCUGAGGCAAAUGUGCACCUACAGAGAGAUCAGUCCCUGCAUUGCAGGUGUACAAAUUAUGAAAUCGGGCCCCUCCCAUGCUAACAAGGGUCUCAUCCUGUAAGCAGUAGACUAUAUUUAUGAUAUGUAUAGCUUUACCUGCGUGGCGAUUGUGUUUUGUAAUUAGUAUCGCUCCAAGUUUUAGCUAAAUUUUUGAGGAACUGGGGACCUUACAGCAUUAUCUCAUUACUAGGAAAAGCCCAAGGAAUUUAUACAAACACACCUACAUGGCAACCUCACUAUACCCAAAUAAUGA
This 1757-nucleotide long non-coding RNA is filed under the name Homo sapiens (human). Its description in RNAcentral is "HSALNT0099288". The record is from RNAcentral. Lineage: Eukaryota; Metazoa; Chordata; Mammalia; Primates; Hominidae.